CUCAGGAUGAACGCUGGCGGCGUGCCUAAUACAUGCAAGUCGAGCGAAUGGAUUGAGAGCUUGCUCUCAAGAAGUUAGCGGCGGACGGGUGAGUAACACGUGGGUAACCUGCCCAUAAGACUGGGAUAACUCCGGGAAACCGGGGCUAAUACCGGAUAACAUUUUGAACUGCAUGGUUCGAAAUUGAAAGGCGGCUUCGGCUGUCACUUAUGGAUGGACCCGCGUCGCAUUAGCUAGUUGGUGAGGUAACGGCUCACCAAGGCAACGAUGCGUAGCCGACCUGAGAGGGUGAUCGGCCACACUGGGACUGAGACACGGCCCAGACUCCUACGGGAGGCAGCAGUAGGGAAUCUUCCGCAAUGGACGAAAGUCUGACGGAGCAACGCCGCGUGAGUGAUGAAGGCUUUCGGGUCGUAAAACUCUGUUGUUAGGGAAGAACAAGUGCUAGUUGAAUAAGCUGGCACCUUGACGGUACCUAACCAGAAAGCCACGGCUAACUACGUGCCAGCAGCCGCGGUAAUACGUAGGUGGCAAGCGUUAUCCGGAAUUAUUGGGCGUAAAGCGCGCGCAGGUGGUUUCUUAAGUCUGAUGUGAAAGCCCACGGCUCAACCGUGGAGGGUCAUUGGAAACUGGGAGACUUGAGUGCAGAAGAGGAAAGUGGAAUUCCAUGUGUAGCGGUGAAAUGCGUAGAGAUAUGGAGGAACACCAGUGGCGAAGGCGACUUU
Molecule: ribosomal RNA, 725 nt
Filed under: Bacillus thuringiensis
Lineage: Bacteria; Bacillati; Bacillota; Bacilli; Caryophanales; Bacillaceae
Description: bacterial SSU rRNA
Rfam family: Bacterial small subunit ribosomal RNA
Source: RNAcentral